CCUACGGGAGGCAGCAGUAGGGAAUCUUCCACAAUGGGCGAAAGCCUGAUGGAGCAACGCCGCGUGGGUGAAGAAGGUCUUCGGAUCGUAAAACCCUGUUGUUAGAGAAGAAAGUGCGUGAGAGUAACUGUUCACGUUUCGACGGUAUCUAACCAGAAAGCACCGGCUAACUACGUGCCAGCAGCCGCGGUAAUACGGAGGUGGAAAGCGUUAUCCGGAUUUAUGGGGCGUAGAGGGAACGCAGGCGGUCUUUUAAGUCUGAUGUGAAAGCCUUCGGCUUAACCGGAGUAGUGCAUUGGAAACUGGGAGACGUGAGUGCAGGAGAGGAGAGUGGAACUCCAUGUGUAGCGGUGAAAUGCGUAGAUAUAUGGAAGAACACCAGUGGCGAAAGCGGCUCUCUGGUCUGUAACUGACGCUGAGGUUCGAAAGCGUGGGUAGCAAACAGGAUUAGAUACCCCGGUAGUC
RNAcentral lists this ribosomal RNA (465 nucleotides) under uncultured bacterium. RNAcentral describes it as "partial 16S ribosomal RNA". It matches the Rfam family "Bacterial small subunit ribosomal RNA", at positions 338 to 795 of the family's 1533-position model. The record is from RNAcentral.